AUUGAACGCUGGCGGCAGGCCUAACACAUGCAAGUCGAGCGGUAACAGAAAGUAGCUUGCUACUUUGCUGACGAGCGGCGGACGGGUGAGUAAUGCUUGGGAACAUGCCUUGAGGUGGGGGACAACAGUUGGAAACGACUGCUAAUACCGCAUAAUGUCUACGGACCAAAGGGGGCUUCGGCUCUCGCCUUUAGAUUGGCCCAAGUGGGAUUAGCUAGUUGGUGAGGUAAUGGCUCACCAAGGCAACGAUCCCUAGCUGGUUUGAGAGGAUGAUCAGCCACACUGGAACUGAGACACGGUCCAGACUCCUACGGGAGGCAGCAGUGGGGAAUAUUGCACAAUGGGCGAAAGCCUGAUGCAGCCAUGCCGCGUGUGUGAAGAAGGCCUUCGGGUUGUAAAGCACUUUCAGUCAGGAGGAAAGGGUGUGAGUUAAUACCUCACAUCUGUGACGUUACUGACAGAAGAAGCACCGGCUAAUCC
This 480-nucleotide ribosomal RNA is filed under the name North Sea bacterium 13-15. RNAcentral describes it as "bacterial SSU rRNA". It matches the Rfam family "Bacterial small subunit ribosomal RNA", at positions 30 to 503 of the family's 1533-position model. The record is from RNAcentral.